This 497-nucleotide ribosomal RNA is filed under the name uncultured bacterium. Its description in RNAcentral is "partial 16S ribosomal RNA". It matches the Rfam family "Bacterial small subunit ribosomal RNA", at positions 28 to 507 of the family's 1533-position model. The record is from RNAcentral.
GAUGAACGCUGGCGGCGUGCCUAAUACAUGCAAGUCGAGCGAACGGACGAGAAGCUUGCUUUUCUGAUGUUAGCGGCGGACGGGUGAGUAACACGUGGAUAACCUACCUAUAAGACUGGGAUAACUUCGGGAAACCGGAGCUAAUACCGGAUAAUAUUUUGAACCGCAUGGUUCAAAAGUGAAAGACGGUCUUGCUGUCACUUAUAGAUGGAUCCGCGCUGCAUUAGCUAGUUGGUAAGGUAACGGCUUACCAAGGCAACGAUGCAUAGCCGACCUGAGAGGGGGAUAGGCCACACGGGAACUGAAACACGGUCCUGACGCCUACGGGAGGCAGCAGUAGGGAAUCGUCCGCAAUGGGCGAAAGCCUGACGGAGCAACGCCGCGUGAGUGAUGAAGGUCUUCGGAUCGUAAAACUCUGUUAUUAGGGAAGAACAUAUGUGUAAGUAACUGUGCACAUCUUGACGGUACCUAAUCAGAAAGCCACGGCUAACUACGUG